RNAcentral lists this ribosomal RNA (448 nucleotides) under uncultured bacterium. RNAcentral describes it as "bacterial SSU rRNA". It matches the Rfam family "Bacterial small subunit ribosomal RNA", at positions 330 to 795 of the family's 1533-position model. The record is from RNAcentral.
GCCAGACUCCUACGGGAGGCAGCAGUGGGGAAUAUUGCACAAUGGGGGAAACCCUGAUGCAGCGACGCCGCGUGAAGGAAGAAGUAUUUCGGUAUGUAAACUUCUAUCAGCAGGGAAGAAAAUGACGGUACCUGACUAAGAAGCCCCGGCUAACUACGUGCCAGCAGCCGCGGUAAUACGUAGGGGGCAAGCGUUAUCCGGAUUUACUGGGUGUAAAGGGAGCGUAGGCGGUUUAGCAAGUCAGAAGUGAAAGCCCGGGGCUCAACCUGUGGCCUGCAUUUGAAACUGUGUUUCUUGAGUACUGGAGAGGCAGACGGAAUUCCUAGUGUAGCGGUGAAAUGCGUAGAUAUUAGGAGGAACACCAGUGGCGAAGGCGGUCUGCUGGACAGCAACUGACGCUGAGGCGCGAAAGCGUGGGGAGCAAACAGGAUUAGAUACCCCGGUAACU